Molecule: ribosomal RNA, 253 nt
Filed under: uncultured bacterium
Lineage: Bacteria
Description: partial 16S ribosomal RNA
Rfam family: Bacterial small subunit ribosomal RNA
Source: RNAcentral
UACGUAUGGAGCAAGCGUUAUCCGGAUUUACUGGGUGUAAAGGGUGCGUAGGCGGCAAAGCAAGUCAGAUGUGAAAGACCGGGGCUCAACCCCGGGGCUGCAUUUGAAACUGCCGAGCUUGAGUCCGGGAGAGGCAGGCGGAAUUCCUAGUGUAGCGGUGAAAUGCGUAGAUAUUAGGAGGAACACCAGUGGCGAAGGCGGCCUGCUGGACCGGAACUGACGCUGAGGCACGAAAGCGUGGGGAGCAAACAGG